UACGUAGGGUGCGAGCGUUAAUCGGAAUUACUGGGCGUAAAGCGUGCGCAGGCGGUUUCGUAAGCUGGAGGUGAAAUCCCCGGGCUUAACCUGGGAAUGGCCUUCAGGACUGCGAGGCUAGAGUGCGGCAGAGGGAGGUGGAAUUCCACGUGUAGCAGUGAAAUGCGUAGAGAUGUGGAGGAACACCGAUGGCGAAGGCAGCCUCCUGGGCCAGCACUGACGCUCAUGCACGAAAGCGUGGGGAGCAAACAGGAUUAGAUACCCUGGUAGUCCACGCCCUAAACGAUGUCAACUAGGUGUUGGGGAAGGUGACUUCCUUAGUACCGCAGCUAACGCGUGAAGUUGACCGCCUGGGGAGUACGGCCGCAAGGUUAAA
Molecule: ribosomal RNA, 376 nt
Filed under: uncultured bacterium
Lineage: Bacteria
Description: bacterial SSU rRNA
Rfam family: Bacterial small subunit ribosomal RNA
Source: RNAcentral